GUUUCUCUUUAAUGGGAAGCAUAGAGUAAAGGGAAAUUGCCAGUUUUAAACAGCAUGAUGCUGUUGUUUAUCUAUUGCAUCGUGUUACCUGUCUGCUGGUAUAUUU
Non-coding RNA from Gossypium arboreum, 106 nucleotides. Lineage: Eukaryota; Viridiplantae; Streptophyta; Magnoliopsida; Malvales; Malvaceae. The record is from Rfam.